RNAcentral lists this transfer RNA (86 nucleotides) under Desulfobulbaceae bacterium. RNAcentral's name for it is "tRNA-Ser". It matches the Rfam family "tRNA". Rfam says of the family: Transfer RNA (tRNA) molecules are approximately 80 nucleotides in length. The record is from RNAcentral. Lineage: Bacteria; Pseudomonadati; Thermodesulfobacteriota; Desulfobulbia; Desulfobulbales; Desulfobulbaceae.
GGAGGAAUGGCCGAGUGGCUGAAGGCGGCGGUCUUGAAAACCGUUGAACGCAAGUUCCGUGGGUUCGAAUCCUACUUCCUCCGCCA